This 885-nucleotide long non-coding RNA is filed under the name Dasypus novemcinctus (nine-banded armadillo). RNAcentral's name for it is "lncRNA (ENSDNOG00000050316.1)". Lineage: Eukaryota; Metazoa; Chordata; Mammalia; Cingulata; Dasypodidae. The record is from RNAcentral.
CAGCAGGGACACCCAAAGAGGGGCUUGUCUGGCCAACUCAUUCUCAUAUGCUAUUUUUCUGUUUCAUGAAGGAAGGUUGAUGAUGCAGGACACUCAGCAAUUUUGCUCGAUUAGGAACCUUUUGGGCUGAGAGGAGCCAAGGAACAAGAGCGAUUAUGCCUCCAGCUGCUUCUUUCCUUCUCCAUUCAAGCCAGGAGGUGUAGACCAAGUGUUAGGGUUGUAGGUCAGUGACGAAGCACCUGGGGCUUGCCUGGGAAGGGGGGCAUCGGCCACAGCAUGAACAGAGCAGGGAUGGGGACAUAACACCGAUGGCACCCCAUCGAACACAUGAGUAGCUUUGUCUGGCACAAAGGACAAAUGUAUCACACUGCCAGGGAGGGGGCUGGCGUUAGGUAUCAAGUAGGGCUAUGAGAACUUGUGUCUUGCUUGGCAAGUUUUCUCUGGGGAGCUAGGAUGUUGGGUGCUAGGAGGAGGAAAAGGAUAAGGAGGGAGGGGUGACUAUGAUUCUGCACCCCCUGGACUUAGAUCCAGGGGCCUUCAAUUUGCAAUUUCGGGUGGUGGCGGGAGCCCAUUUGGAGCCUCUGACCUCCGACAACAGAAAACUCCUGGAAACGGCUGGGAGCGGAAUGUCUGGCUGGAAAGCUUGGGCCUUCACAACCUGCUCCAGCAAGUCGCUGGCCCUCAACUCAGCCUGGUUCCCUGCAGCUCUUCAAGAGUCCCAGGUUGCAGCUGCUGAGGCAGAGAACAGACCCGUUUUCCUCAGAAAACCCUGCUGGUCCUGACCCACCAGAGAGCAAAGUUAAGCUUCUCCUCUACAACAGCCCCUACUGAGUAUUUCAUCCAGAGCUCUCCUGCCUGCCACUGAACUGCGCUUCUUGAGGGUAC